GCCGGAAUAGCUCAGUUGGGAGAGCGUUAGACUGAAGUUGUUUACGCAAUCAUCUAAAGGCCCCCGGUUCAAUUCCGGGUUCCGGCA
Molecule: transfer RNA, 87 nt
Filed under: Dreissena polymorpha
Lineage: Eukaryota; Metazoa; Mollusca; Bivalvia; Myida; Dreissenidae
Rfam family: tRNA
About the family: Transfer RNA (tRNA) molecules are approximately 80 nucleotides in length. Their secondary structure includes four short double-helical elements and three loops (D, anti-codon, and T loops).
Source: Rfam by way of RNAcentral